GUAAAGAGUAAUAAUAGAGGACUGGAGGAGGCCAGAUCGAGGAUGAUAUUCCUGAACUUUUGGAAUGAUGGAAACAACAGACACAGCAAAGCACAGGAUCAUAUUAAAGCUUAUGAAGAAUUUGUUUUCAGUGCAAUCCUCAGGCGUUGUAUAGAAAACAUAGAAAAGCACAACAAAAACCACUGACAAGCCAUAGAACAAGCUUGUACAGGACAGCAGAGCUGCAUACCAACACUUAGAAUUUCCCUCCUCC
RNAcentral lists this long non-coding RNA (253 nucleotides) under Gallus gallus (chicken). The record is from RNAcentral. Lineage: Eukaryota; Metazoa; Chordata; Aves; Galliformes; Phasianidae.